GCUGUCUCUCAUGGUUGUUUUCACUAAUUUCAGAGAAAUGGUCAGUGUCUUCUGAAAAAGUCCGUUAGCAUCUCAACUGUAAUGCUAACUACAAGAGAUUCUUCCAUGCUGAUGGCCGUGCGUGUAUCCAGCUGAAGAACAUUUUUAGACAUUAUGAAACAUAACUAAGUUUAGCUCCGACCCCAGUUAAGCAGACCUGAGCAGCUGAUCAAGGAUCAGCAGAAACUCUGCAGAACGCUGGUCCUCCAGCCCAGGACUGGACACCAGAUGUAUGCUGGAGAAAAAAUAGUGAGGAUAAAGCAUUCAAAGUGGAAACAUCUGCCGUGGCUCAUUAAUCCAGAAUUGGAAUGGAGGAAGGAGCAGAAGAAGAAGCAGCAGAUCAGAGAUCAGGCAGAGAUCUACUGGUGUCCCUGUGGGAACCCCAUUUACCUACUGUGUUUUUUAAACCAAAGAUUUCCCUCACUUAUCUUCAUAUUGUUCCAAGCCAGACUUUUGGUCAACUUUGAAACAUAAAUGCAGAACUUUUUAAUGAAAUCUGAGAAUUCUUUUAAAUAUAAAAUAACGCAUUCACACAUGCACCAUGAUGCAUCAGUGUUGCAUUGGCAUGAGAGCUGGCGCUUUUGGUGCUUUUGUGAAAAUCCAUUGGGGAUUCAUAAUUUCUGAAUAGAUAAUUUUUGCUGUUGUUGUUGUUUUGCGUACACAAGGAAUCUGUUAAAAACAUAUCUUAAUUUGUGUUCUGCAACAUGGUUUGGGGCAACAUGAGGGUAAGUAAUUAAUGACAGAAUUUACAUUUUGGUUGUUCUAAAGUUAUAAUUGGUCAUAGUUUAUUGUCUUGAAAAAUUAUAUUAAUACAGAAAGAUGGAUUAAUUUGAUAAGUUUAUAGUAAAGACUUUUAAAUUGAUAAAAAAAAAAUCUAAAUAAAUACUACUCUUUUGCA
Carassius auratus (goldfish) is the source of this 937-nucleotide long non-coding RNA. RefSeq lists it as uncharacterized. The record is from RefSeq and is a predicted model, not a curated record. The transcript has 5 exons. NCBI's taxonomy places the organism in Eukaryota, Metazoa, Chordata, Actinopteri, Cypriniformes, Cyprinidae.